CCCAAAAUCCUCCAUCUUGUUACUAAAUCCCAUAAACCUAAUUUUUCUACAUCUCUACAUAUUCCACCCAGUGAUAUAACUUAAAUUACACAGCAGCAAUCUCAGUGCUAUCACAUAAAAAGGGAAGCCGUUCCCAAGCCCUCAGGUCAAAUGCAGUGUGCUUUUGAAGAUCAUUGCCUGUCAGCACUGAAAGACUGAAAUUCUCUGAACCCAGGAUUCCAACAAUUACCUUCCAUUAUCAUCACAGUUAAAUAUUUAUUAUUCAUUUCUACUCUAAACUUUCUUCAAGCUUCAUAUGUUCAGACUUGGGAUGCUUCAGUUCGCUACAGCCAGGAGAUUCGAUGUGAUGUCUGUUCUGGCACAGAUGUCAGUGGAGGAUCCUGCACUUCACCAGAACAAUCAUUAGAGAUUGCCACCCAUCAAGAAUUUCAAGGUUGGGAAAGAAAUUCAUGCUUGAGGUCCAGCUCUCCCUUCAGUGAAUCCCAGGCAGCACUCCUUAAAUGAAAGCCCCACACUGCUGUUAAUAAGGGUAGUACCUGGGCCUCAGGACACAGAGCAUGGGAAGCUGUGACCACAGGUAGGAUGCUCAAACACACCACCAGGAUGUCCUCCAGGAUCCUAGAAAACUCAUUCCAGAGCCCAGUCUCAGAGAAGACUUGCUGGCAUGUGGUGUCACACCAACACUGUAAAACUAUAGGGGAAUUGCUUAUGAAAUGGAUUAUAAGUGCUUCAUUUCAAUGGAUACUUUUCUCACUAGCAGUAGUAGACAAAGAACAAGAAGAAAAAAUGCCAUGUGAAAAGAGAGAUGUAAGAUUGUAUGUACUCAAAAGUCAAGUGUGACAUGGAUGAGAGAAAACAUCUGAGAACAUAACGGUGUCCUAGCAGGACUGGGAGAGAAGCUUAAGAAAAGCUUCUCCCCAGCCACAUUUUUCUCCCUUGAGAAAAGCUUCUCCCCAGCCACAUUUCCAAGGCAGACCAUCUCCUUGAAAAAUGUUUGUGCAGGGCUGCAGAAGUGGAAGAAGCCCCCAGAUGCUAAUAGAUGUCUCUUGCUCCCAUGGAGAUGCCACCUGCGGUGCCUACCAUCUGGCUGGAUGACCCCCCCUUGUGGAUAGCUGGCACCAGAAGGGAUUUGGGAUGCCAUGAACUGCAACAUGCUAUCAUGCUUUUUAAAAUUAGCUCAGUGCCAGAUGCCAGAAGAGUCCCUUGCCAGGGUGUGUAUCAUCCCACUGAACUUCAGGACGCCCUGGUGCGACAUGAGGCGGGGCGACUGUGCUUUCCACCAUGCACGGUACAUGCACCUGGCUGUUGGCUUUCAGCCUGGGCCUGGUGCUGCUGCACUUCAGCAUCUGCAGCAGCCCUGAGGAGUGCAAGGUGUGCUUUGCUAAGCCACAGCUCAAACAAGGAUUGCAAACAAGUGUAACUUCACCCAAUUUCACCAUGGAUUUUUUUUGCAGAUUCCUCCCUGCCUUGGUGGCCAAACUGACCCCGGGUAUCCAAAUUUGGAUGGAGAUAGUCAUCAUGAGGACAUCCUGCUUCAGCCCUGUGCCUGACAAAAGCCCUGGUGGUGCCAGCAACAGAGAGAAACACAGGUCUUGAUAUUUCUUCAGGUAUGUGAACAGCACAAUGGAAAAUAUUUGUGUAUUAUUCUGAAAAUCCAAGCUGAUGCUUACUGAACAAGACCAAAAAAUUGCCUGAUUCUAUGCUGGGAGGAAGCAAAGUAACUGGGACUGGGCUGUCUUUAGUUUGUUUUACUUAAGCAUGAACAAUUCCACCUCAUUAGAUUACAGUGUAUAACGUGAACUAAUACAUAAAUUGAAAAAGUUAAUACACUUUCAUUCUAUAAAGACUGAUUGUUAUCAUAGCUAGGGAAGGGGAUUUUCUUAGCAGUGCUUAUCUCAGAAGCUAUUGGAAGGGAAUCCGGUAGUACACUUUAAUUGGCUACUUUUGCAUCAUAAGAUCUGUUAAUGAUUUGUUGGACAAUAAUUAAGCUGUUUAAUCUUCCCAUCGGCCCAUGCAGGAUGUAGUUAUGAAUAACAUCUUUUGUACACAACACAUGUGUGACUCUGAAAAGAUGAGAUCCACCUCCUUCUUUGGGAUGUUGCAAAGAAACAUGAGAAUCUUCAGAAACAGUCCUAGCUCCUGCAAUUCACAGCAGCUGGAUUAAUGUAUUACACAUCUUCUGGGGGAACAAAAGAUCUUUGUUAUGUUUAACAUCAGUAGAUUUUAGCUAGCACCUUUUUCAUCACUGGCACUACCCUGCUACUUUCUUAUAAAAAUACUUCUGAAAAAAAGGCUUUCUUGCAAAACAAAAUUUAUACUAUUGCUGUUUCAGUUGGGGCAAAUUCAUUAAGCCGGCAAAAACUUCAGUAGUAAUAAUUAUACGGUGACCUUUUCUUUUGAAAGCUGGAAAACUUGUAAUAAAUGAGUCAGUGAUUAGGGAAGGAGAAAAGCAGCUGAGUGCUGGCUGGAAGGACUGCAUUCGACACUCAGCUGUGCCAAAGUGUAAGGCGUUUACAUCAUGCCUUGGGGGGUGGGGGUGGUGGUGCUAAUUGUAUAGCUGUUGUUUGCAGAGUGCUCUAGCCGAGGCCUAAACACAGACUGAAGUCUCAGCACUUCUGUCCAGUUGCAGCUCAACCAAAGGAAGAUGUACUUCUGAAAUAAUCCACAUUUAUGAAAAACCAUAUUCUGAAAUUUCAUCCACUAAAUCCAGUGCCCCAAGUUAGUGGCCACUCUGGACUUACCUCAAUUUCCCAGCUCUCAAAGGGUGAACUAUUAUUGCUUUUGACUCAUGCUCUUGUUGAAAAUAUAAAUGUGUCCAUAUUUGUGAGUAUUCCACUGCUGUACCCUGAAUUUUACAGAAAAACACACAAGGAAAUUUAUAAUUCUGCUACCGCAGCAAAGUAUGACUAAUACAAAUUAAAAGGUGCAAGGGGACUGCACAGUGACCAGGGAGAACAUUACAGUUUGGAUGCCCAUUAAUUUGGUAUCUUCCUUCCUGUGACUAAACCAAGACAGGCAUGCAUCCUGUAGAGAAAAUACUAUGUCUUUAAUUAAAAUCAUAUCAGGUUAAUGCAUGAAGGAGAUAUUAAAUUAGCAUACACAGACUUAAUUAUACUGUACCCUAAUUUUUGUGUCUUUGACUUUACAACUUCUGUAAUGUUUUAGCAUGGUACCUUUAUGGGUGCCUGUGCACUGAUUAUAUCCUAAUUAACUUAUUCUGAAACAAUAAAAGACAGAUUUCCUCCAAUAAAAAAAAUCAUCAAAACAAACUGGAGUUUAAUACUUCAAACUACCUUGGAACAGAAAAGUGUUAGAGGAAUUAAAAAUGCCCUCCAAAUACGUAAGUGCUGUCACUUCAAAGUUACUUCAUCUUCUCCUUUCCCCUUCAAGCUCCAAGUAAAUUCUACCCCGGGGAAAACCCUGUGGAAGCUGGGCCUCAGGAAGAAGUUGAAAAUUAGGCUAUGAACUUAAAGGAAACCUCACAACGACUUUGAAGUGUGUAACCAUGACUCAUUGGAGUAAGCACCUGUAAUUCUCCCCUUGGGAAGUGGAUGGACUUCUAAACGUUGCUUGAGAGUGUGUGAUGAGGCCACUCCUAAGGGGAAGCAUAGUAUUAACAGGAAAAUAAUACUGCUAACGGGGAGAGCCUCUAACAGCCUUCUGUGGAGUAGCCAAUUUUGGGUGAUGGGACAUUUUUUAAAAUGAUGAAGCCAGAAGCACUUUUGCCAUGGUUAGUGAGUACAAGAGGUGGUUCUUUAUCUCCUGUGGUAGGCAACAUUUCAAUCCUGCACAGUAGCUACAGCUUUUCUUCAAAGAAAAAUUAUAAAUCAACUUUGUGUUUCUGUCAGCCUUCAGAUCCUUUACAGAAAAUCCAUUCUGUUUUGUGGCUGUUGCAAUCAGUUGCAAUCAGUAGUUUGUCCAGCAAGAAGCCAUAAACCACAUGACCAUGUCAUGGGGCACCUGUUCCACUGGACUUUCUUGGCAGGAGUCUGCCAUGUCACAUUUGCUGUGGUAGGCAUACUACUGAUAAUAUCAGUAAGAAGCAUGAGCUUCUUAUGUAUACAUUUUUAAUAACUUUACUUUUCUUUCUUUCCCCCGGUUCUUGCUGUUUCUUAGUCUACCACUCUUUCCUGAAAAUUAAUACUUGAGGGUGGCUCAAAUGAUAAGUCCACAUUCUCAUCGUCCCUCCAAGAUCUGCAGCUCAGUGAACUCUUAUCAAUUUUGCAAAAGGCAGCUGUAUUAAAGUGGCUUUGUUGCUCAGAUAAGGAAACAGCAAAUACAAGUGCAGCCAGAUGUACAAAUGAACCAUGUUCUGGAGCAAGAAGACUUAUGAAAGAACACAGGUCCCAGAAUAGGCAUCGGGGAGAAGAGUGAUGCAGGUGUGCUCAGACACAGGUGGCAAGCAAUUCUGCUCUUGGGAAGCAGGGAAAAGAUGGCACACUGUGCCAGUUUGAACAGCAGUGAGGUAAUUUUGUUCACUUGGAAAUAGAUGUCUUGGAAAAAAGUAGAGGCUGCGUGCCAAGAGGCUAUUGAUCCCGUUGCUAAAUAAAGUAGUAGCCCCACUUCAUUGCAGGUUCUUCUAGAAGUGCCUGCUAAACAUUGAUGAGGAAAGGACUGGAGCCAUCCCAGCACACCAGCCUGGCACGACACAUGCACAGCAGCAUGUGGAGGGGCUGACAGGCCAUGUUCAAUACCAGCCCCUGAGCCAGUGCCUCCCAAAUCACCCAUCGGAAGGGACAGAUGGAGCUGAAGAGCCAUCACACAGCAAUCCAAAGACACGCAGGGAAAAAUGGUGUGACGGGAAGGACUUGCCUGCAGUCUUCUUCCACAGGAAAGCAAGGAGGGCAGCUGGAGAGUUCCCAGCCAAGGAGCCUAAUUGCCAGAUGAGUGGGAUGGGGGCGGUCAGCAAAAAUGCUGCUGCUCCUUGUUGGGGUCAUAGGAACAAGAGAAUAAUGCUGUGGGGUGGCUCAAGCAGUGAGUCUGCAUUUUCAUCAUCUGUCCAAGAUUCUAUGGCUUGCCCUUGAUACCACAAAAUAGAACUAGCCACAAUGUUUCUGUCCCCUAUGCUAUGAAUAAUGUCCCUAAGUGACUUAGAUAAAAUGGCAACGGGAUUCCAUUCCAGCUUAAUUCCAAGUGAACAUGUCAAGAAAGGGAAUGAUGAAAUACUAACAGGAUGCCAAGGUCACCUUCUGGAUAGAAACCUUGAGCCAAGGAGGAUGGUACAAUUGUUGGAGGAGUGAACAUUGCUCAAAGAAUCAACUGUUAGAAGCACAAACAGUGCAAAAUGGGUAAGUCAUGGAGGAACUUACUGCAAACAUCUUACAGUUCUGAAAACCAACAAUACUUCUAUAGCCAUCAUCCACCUGCUUCUUUAUUGAUCUAGACAUCCUCGAGUCAGUCUUGCUACAGUUUCUAAUCUAUGAUGCCAAGUAAGAGGAGGGUUUCACAGAGGUGUUGGAGGGGCUCGGAUGGCUGGCGCUAUCUUGGUAGUCAAGAGGUAUCCUUUAUCUGUCAUGAAUGGCUUUGAGGAUCUGAGGAACAAAGGUCCUGCUCCUUGCUCUUAGCUGGUGUCCUUUGGUCAUGCUUACUCCACCAUGAAUACUGAUGCUUACUUAAGCCUGACUAUGCAGUACAUGACAUAAACCAUAUACAUUUAAAGAAAGUUAAUACCAUACUAUUUAGAAAAUCAAUACACUUUCAUAGUAUAAAGAUUAUUUGGUACAAUAGUUAAUGAAUGAGAUUUUCCUGAUGUGGGCUGAGGCUAUUAGUUGGGAGCCAGAGGCCUAGCAGGAGAGAGGCAAAGCCAAAAAUCCCCUCUGCUGUCCAGCUGCAGCCCAAAAAGCAGCUGGACAUGGGUAUCUCCCCAUUGGAUUGACAGGCUUUCCGCUUCUCAGAGCGGUUUGUUUACAGCUGUGUCUAAAAUAAACGUUGCCUAAUUUUUUUUUUCCGCUCCUGUUA
Long non-coding RNA from Corvus hawaiiensis (hawaiian crow), 5958 nucleotides. RefSeq lists it as uncharacterized. The transcript is spliced from 2 exons. The record is from RefSeq and is a predicted model, not a curated record. Lineage: Eukaryota; Metazoa; Chordata; Aves; Passeriformes; Corvidae.